UCUCUUGUAGCUCAGUUGGUUAGAGCGGCAGACUGUUAAUCUGUAGGUCAUCGGUUCAAGUCCGAUCGGGAGAG
This 74-nucleotide transfer RNA is filed under the name Dehalococcoidia bacterium. Its description in RNAcentral is "tRNA-Asn". It matches the Rfam family "tRNA". From Rfam's summary of the family: Transfer RNA (tRNA) molecules are approximately 80 nucleotides in length. Their secondary structure includes four short double-helical elements and three loops (D, anti-codon, and T loops). The record is from RNAcentral. Lineage: Bacteria; Bacillati; Chloroflexota; Dehalococcoidia.